This 91-nucleotide transfer RNA is filed under the name Bacteroidetes bacterium RIFCSPLOWO2_02_FULL_36_8. RNAcentral's name for it is "tRNA-Ser". It matches the Rfam family "tRNA". Rfam says of the family: Transfer RNA (tRNA) molecules are approximately 80 nucleotides in length. Their secondary structure includes four short double-helical elements and three loops (D, anti-codon, and T loops). RNAcentral also lists the same sequence under 1 other name. The record is from RNAcentral. Lineage: Bacteria; Pseudomonadati; Bacteroidota.
GGAGAGGUGCCUGAGUGGCCGAAAGGAGCGGUUUGCUAAACCGUCGUAGUGCCUUAAAGCGCUACCGGGGGUUCGAAUCCCCCUCUCUCCG